CGGGUGUGUGUCAAAGCCAGGUUCAGAUGGAUGGAUUUCCAGAAGAAUCUAAAUUUGCAGCUUCUCACGCACCAGCUGGCUUGGGGUCCUGCACAGCAGAGCCUGAGUUGAGGAGGGACUUGUCUAGUUGGAUGGGAUUGAAACUGGGGCCUCAUGCACGUCAGACCAGCACUCUACCACUGAGCUCCGCCCAGCCCUCUGUAUCUGGAGUUAAUUGAAAGGCAUGGCAGGAAGGAAUAUUGGAAGAUACACACAAAACCCUCCUUAACUCGCACUCACUCAUCUGUAUGAAUAAGUAAUAGCCUACAACACAAGCAGAAGCAGAAACAAGCUAGAGGCUGCGCCUGGUGCAGGAUGCAGGAUGGAAACUGUCACCCAUAAUCUCUUAUUUCUGUUUUCUCCUCAACAAAACAGGCUUGUUGCCAUCUUAUCUAA
This is a long non-coding RNA of Marmota flaviventris (yellow-bellied marmot), 435 nucleotides long. RefSeq lists it as uncharacterized. Lineage: Eukaryota; Metazoa; Chordata; Mammalia; Rodentia; Sciuridae. The record is from RefSeq and is a predicted model, not a curated record.